CAGCAGCCGCGGUAAUGCGUAGGUGGCAAGCGUUGUCCGGAUUUAUUGGGCGUAAAGCGAGCGCAGGCGGUCAAUUAAGUCUGAUGUGAAAGCCCCCGGCUCAACCGGGGAGGGUCAUUGGAAACUGGUUGACUUGAGUGCAGAAGAGGAGAGUGGAAUUCCAUGUGUAGCGGUGAAAUGCGUAGAUAUAUGGAGGAACACCAGUGGCGAAGGCGACUCUCUGGUCUGUAACUGACGCUGAGGCUCGAAAGCGUGGGUAGCAAACAGGAUUAGAUACCCCGGUAGUCCCUGUCUCUUAUAC
RNAcentral lists this ribosomal RNA (301 nucleotides) under uncultured bacterium. RNAcentral's name for it is "partial 16S ribosomal RNA". It matches the Rfam family "Bacterial small subunit ribosomal RNA", at positions 509 to 807 of the family's 1533-position model. The record is from RNAcentral.